This 513-nucleotide long non-coding RNA is filed under the name Gallus gallus (chicken). The record is from RNAcentral. Lineage: Eukaryota; Metazoa; Chordata; Aves; Galliformes; Phasianidae.
AUUUUUUUUCCUGUUUUCUUAGAUGAUUUCCCUUCCUCAGGGAUUUUUGAAGUGACAGCCAACUCUUCUGGACGAUUUUCCACUUCCUGUUCAAGAUCACCUUUUCUCUUCCUUUUUCUUUUUUUAUUUACUAAUGUUGCCUCUAAUGAAACCUGUUCUUCUGCCUCUUCAGAAACACCCAGCGAUUCCUUAUUCUCCUUCUCAGCCGUCACAGUAUCAGCUUCUGUUUCUGCAUCAGAAAUUCUGGCUUCCUGAAGAUCAUCUUGGUUAUCAGUAGUUUCUGUGUUGGCAACCUUUCCUUUUGGCUUCUUCCUAGGCCUUAGUGGCUUCUUUUCCUUUGGCUUCUGGCUCUUAACAGUCUUCUGCCUCCUCUUUUCCUCAUCUGCCAAGACCUUCUCAAGAAGCUGGGCGAACAAUUCAAAAUCAAAGGGCCGUUUUUCUUUGAAAGCUUUGUCUAUCCUCCAUCCAUUUGCUUUUUCCUCACGUUUGAACUUGUUCUUAAUUUCUGCUCUG